GGCAGUUCUCAGGUGAUGUACCCUGGAAUUAGGCUCCCUACUCUCUGGUUCCAGGUGCAUCACCCGAGAACCACA
Molecule: non-coding RNA, 75 nt
Organism: Myotis brandtii (Brandt's bat)
Lineage: Eukaryota; Metazoa; Chordata; Mammalia; Chiroptera; Vespertilionidae
Source: Rfam